AAAUUUGUCUUUAUGAGCAUGGGUAGACCAUGCCAAGACUGUCAUUUCGUCCCAGAUGUUGAGGCACACGACACAGGCAACCAGCGAGAAAAAUACAAGUCUGUGCUAUCAGUAAAUGACGGCUGAGGUGACAAGCGACCUGAAUCCUUCUAAAAUCGUCAGUGGAAGAAACACAAGAUGGAAACUAGAGUCUGCAUCGUUAUUGCGCUCCUUGGUGUCAUCAUGGUAAAGUUUAAUCAUGCGACCAAUGAGGCUCCAAACAUGUUAAUCUCAGAGAAGCAGAAGCCUUUCGACCAACAGCUUCUUUCGAAGGAAGAAUCAGGUGAGAUGUCGGGUAGGGAGAGACGCCACGACGGGGUGUCUGUGAGAAACACCCGAGGCAUUGGGGGACGUUGGAGGGGAGACUACGACUCGGACUACUUCUUACCCUACUGAGUGGACAGGCAGUCCGUCAUCCUGUGGUGACCACAUCGAUGGUGACUAAACAUAAUGCCAGUCGUUUAUUAUAGGAAGACAACCCUUUCAAAUUGGUUAUUAAUGAUUCAUUUUUUUUUACUGAAUUAUGAAAAUAUACUUGCCAUUUGAUAGACUACUCAAAGACAAAGCGAAGUUCUAAUAAAGUUUGUUUGCCUGUCAGUGCUGGGAUUUGUGUGUGUACGUGUGUGUUUUCAUGGGCCAAGUGUUAUAUAUUUUUAUGUGAUUUCAUCGGAUAUAAAAGAACUGCGCUUUACAUAACAUGUGGCCAGUUAAGAUGUUCAAAAUGAAUAGUUGAAACAGACGAACGGACAACAAAAAAAAAAAACCAAACAAAAAAACAACAAAUCAACUACUUUGUUCAACUGCC
Pomacea canaliculata is the source of this 844-nucleotide long non-coding RNA. RefSeq lists it as uncharacterized. The transcript has 3 exons. The record is from RefSeq and is a predicted model, not a curated record. NCBI's taxonomy places the organism in Eukaryota, Metazoa, Mollusca, Gastropoda, Architaenioglossa, Ampullariidae.